CUGGUUGAUCCUGCCAGUAGUCAUAUGCUUGUCUCAAAGAUUAAGCCAUGCAUGUCUAAGCACACGCCUCAAUACGGUGAAGCCGCGAAUAGCUCAUUACAACAGCCAUCGUUUACUAGAAUAUAGUUUCCUACUUGGAUAACUGUGGCAAUUCUAGAGCUAAUACAUGCAAAAAAGCUCUAACCGCAAGGAAAGAGCGCAUUUAUUAGAAUAAAAACCAAUCGGGUUUCGGCCCGUGAUUUGGUGAAUCUGAAUAACUUUGCCAAUCGCAUAGACUCGUUCUAGCGAUGUAUCUUUCAAGUGUCUGCCUUAUCAACUUUCGAUGGUAGGUUAUACGCCUACCAUGGUAGUAACGGGUAACGGAGAAUAAGGGUUUGACUCCGGAGAGGGAGCCUGAGAAACGGCUACCACAUCCAAGGAAGGCAGCAGGCGCGCAAAUUACCCACUUCCAGAACGGAGAGGUAGUGACGAAAAAUAACGAGACAGUCCUCUUCGAGGUCUGUCAUCGGAAUGGGUACAAUUUAAAUCCUUUAACGAGGAUCUAUUGGAGGACAAGUCUGGUGCCA
Molecule: ribosomal RNA, 566 nt
Filed under: uncultured eukaryote
Lineage: Eukaryota
Description: SSU rRNA
Rfam family: Eukaryotic small subunit ribosomal RNA
Source: RNAcentral